Molecule: ribosomal RNA, 790 nt
Filed under: uncultured bacterium
Lineage: Bacteria
Description: bacterial SSU rRNA
Rfam family: Bacterial small subunit ribosomal RNA
Source: RNAcentral
AGAGUUUGAUCCUGGCUCAGAACGAACGUUGGCGGCGUGGAUUAGGCAUGCAAGUCGAACGAGAACCGGCCUUGUAGCAAUACCGGGCUGGGGAAAGUGGCGAAAGGGGCAGUAAGGCGUGGGUAACCUACCCUGGGGACCGGGAUAGCCAUCCUAACGGGUGGGUAAUACCGGGCGAUCUGGCUGAGGCGCCUGUCUUGGUCAGCAAAUGAAUUUCGCCCUGGGAGGGGCUCACGUGGUAUUAGCUAGUUGGUAGGGUAACGGCCUACCAAGGCAAAGAUGCCUAGCGGGUGUGAGAGCACGACCCGCGCCACUGGCACUGAGACACUGGCCAGACUCCUACGGGAGGCUGCAGUCGAGGAUCUUCGGCAAUGGGCGCAAGCCUGACCGAGCGACGCCGCGUGCGCGAUGAAGGCCUUCGGGUUGUAAAGCGCUGUCGAGGGGGAGGAAGCUCCGCAAGGGGUUGACCUAUCCCUGGAGGAAGCACGGGCUAAGUUCGUGCCAGCAGCCGCGGUAAGACGAACCGUGCGAACGUUGUUCGGAAUCACUGGGCUUAAAGGGCGCGUAGGCGGUCGAUCACGUCCGGGGUGAAAGCUUUCGGCUUAACCGGAAAAGUGCCUUGGAUACGGAUCGGCUGGAGGGAGGUAGGGGCAGGUGGAACUUCCGGUGGAGCGGUGAAAUGCGUUGAUAUCGGAAGGAACGCCGGUGGCGAAAGCGGCCUGCUGGACCUCUUCUGACGCUGAGGCGCGAAAGCUAGGGGAGCAAACGGGAUUAGAUACCCCCGUAGUCC